GGCCGGUGAUGCUAUCAAAUAUUUGCUACUCUUGAUGGGAAUACCCAUCUGAUGAUACAUUUCCACCAAGAUCUCUGAGGCC
Ipomoea nil (Japanese morning glory) is the source of this 82-nucleotide small nucleolar RNA. It matches the Rfam family "Small nucleolar RNA SNORD24". From Rfam's summary of the family: U24 is a member of the C/D class of snoRNA which contain the C (UGAUGA) and D (CUGA) box motifs. C/D box snoRNAs have been shown to act as methylation guides for a number of RNA targets. Lineage: Eukaryota; Viridiplantae; Streptophyta; Magnoliopsida; Solanales; Convolvulaceae. The record is from Rfam.